This is a long non-coding RNA of Pseudophryne corroboree (corroboree frog), 347 nucleotides long. RefSeq lists it as uncharacterized. The record is from RefSeq and is a predicted model, not a curated record. The transcript is spliced from 3 exons. NCBI's taxonomy places the organism in Eukaryota, Metazoa, Chordata, Amphibia, Anura, Myobatrachidae.
UCUGAAGAGUGAAGUGCUGGCCAGGACACAGGACAUGGGGCAGCACACUGCAGCACAGGCGGCAGCCUUUAUAAAGCAGGAGUUUCAGCGGGGAUCCGGAGUCUUUCAAUAUCGUAUAGUGAAAUAUGGAAUGGAAGAAACAGGAAGCCUGCCAUCUUCCUGCAGAGCAUGCAACUUUCUUGCCACUUGACCUCCCUACAUCCCUUGCUUUGACACGUACAGUUAAACCAGAUGUCAGAGGGGUCGCAGAAGGAGGCACUAAAGCUUGUCAAAUUGAUAAACUACAAAAGGCCCGACGGAAGUUUCAGAGCAAACAGCACUCCUUUGUCACUCAGUUUACUGAUAGA